Molecule: non-coding RNA, 787 nt
Filed under: Meroplius fukuharai
Lineage: Eukaryota; Metazoa; Arthropoda; Insecta; Diptera; Sepsidae
Source: RNAcentral
UUGAAGUUUUAUUUUGGCUUAAAAAUUUAUUAUUAAUUUAUUUUAUAUGUAAAUUUUUGUGAGAAUGGUUAUUUGUUUUAAUAACAAUUAAUUUUUAUAUAGUCGCAGUAAUUAGUAUUAUUAAUUAAAGAAAUUUAGAAAUAGAAAUAUUAAAUAGUAUUGGCUAAAUUUGUGCCAGCAGUCGCGGUUAUACAAAUAAUACAAAUAAAUUUAAUUAGUAGGAGUUAAAUUAAGUAAUUUAAAUUAAAAAUUAAAUUUAUAAGGUGAAAUUUUAAAUUUAUAUAAAAUUUGCAUUUAAAAAUUGAAGCUCAGAAAUUUUAGUAAUAAACUAGGAUUAGAUACCCUAUUAUUUAAAAUGUAUAAAAUUUACUAAGGUAGUAGUAGUUAUGUUCUUGAAACUUAAAAAAUUUGGCGGUAUUUUAGUCUAUUCAGAGGAACCUGUCCUGUAAUUGAUAAUCCACGUUGGACCUUACUUAAAUUUGUUUAUCAGUUUGUAUACCGUCGUUAUAAGAAUAUUUUAUUAGAAUAAUAAUUUUCUAGAAUUUUUAUAAAAAUUUAUAUCAGAUCAAGGUGCAGCUUAUGUUUAAGAAGAGAUGGGUUACAAUAAAUUUAUUUAUACGAAUUGGAUUUUGAAAUUAAUCUAUGAAGGAGGAUUUGAAUGUAAAAUUAUAAAGAUUAAUAAUUUGAUUUUAGCUCUAAAAUAUGUACACAUCGCCCGUCACUCUUAUUAUUAAGGUAAGAUAAGUCGUAACAUAGUAGAUGUACUGGAAAGUGUAUCUAGAAUGCA